This 1098-nucleotide long non-coding RNA is filed under the name Macaca fascicularis (crab-eating macaque). RNAcentral describes it as "lncRNA (ENSMFAG00000052758.1)". Lineage: Eukaryota; Metazoa; Chordata; Mammalia; Primates; Cercopithecidae. The record is from RNAcentral.
UUUUUUUUUUUUUUUUUGCAUUUUGUCCAUCUGCUUUCUCCUUUGCUCCAUCUAUAUUUUUGUCAUAUCUACAUGGUAUUGUUAAUAAUGGGUUUAUUGAACCAUUUGAAAUUAAGUUCCCCACAUCAUGGCCCUCUGCUUUCUAGGGGCACCUUUAUUUUUGAUUAAUUGAUUGACUGAUUUUUUUUUUUGAGACAGGAUCUUGCUCUGUUGCCCAGGCUGGAGUGCAGUGGCGCAAUCAUAACUCACUGCAGACUUGACCUCCUGGGCUCAAGCAAUCCUUCUGCCUCAGCCUUCCGAGUAGCUGGCACCACAGGUAUGCACCACCGUGCCUGGCUGAUGUUUUUUAUUUUUUGUAGAAAUGGGGUCUCACUAUGUUGCCCAGGCUGAUCUCAAACAAUCCUCCUGCCUCAACCUCCCAAAGUGUUGAGAUUACAGGUGUGAGCCCACCAUGACCAGCCUCGUUGUCACUUUAGAAUGUGGUGACCAGAAGGCUCAGCAGAAGACUCUCAGCCCAAGGAGUCUUAGCUGGGAGUUUCCACGAGGUUCCAGAGGUCUAUGAACCUCUAGGGGUAGGUGCACUUUAAAAUGUUAAGUGUUCAACAAUUUCAUCAGAUUCUCAAAGGAAUCCUUGACUCCUCUCCCUGCCCCUGCAAAAGGACAGGAAGCUCUAAAGUAAACCAGUUGCCUUAUUUUAGGAUGGAAAGCCCAAGGAGACCCUAAAUACAUCAGCGUAUAGAUCCUUAGAAUAAGGAGAUUCUCACAGAACCACAGUGCAUUUCUCAACUUCAGCACAAUUAACUUCCAUGCGCUACUUUAAUCUACUGUCAGUUCCAAUUUUGUCAGCUGACCUAAUAAUAUCCUUUAUAGCGUUUUUUCCUCCAGUACAGGGUCCAGCCUAGGAUGGAAUAUACCAGAUAUUAUAUGCGUGGAUCCUAUCUUUUUCGUCUCCUGUAAUCUGGACCAUUUCCCCAGCUUUUGACUUAGAUGGCAUUGAAAUUGUGAGUCAAAUAUAGCACGUAAACAAGGCGCUCAUUUUGUGUUCGUCCACUGUCUCCUGGUGCUUUGAGGCCAUGCAUUCCUGGCCAGGACAUUACA